UACGUAGGGGGCUAGCGUUGUCCGGAAUCAUUGGGCGUAAAGAGCUCGUAGGCGGCUCAGUAAGUCGGCUGUGAAAGCCCGAGGCUCAACCUCGGAAAUGCAGUCGAUACUGCUGUGGCUAGAGUCCGGUAGAGGAGAGUGGAAUUCCCGGUGUAGCGGUGGAAUGCGCAGAUAUCGGGAGGAACACCAGUAGCGAAGGCGGCUCUCUGGGCCGGCACUGACGCUGAGGAGCGAAAGCGUGGGUAGCAAACAGG
This 254-nucleotide ribosomal RNA is filed under the name uncultured bacterium. RNAcentral's name for it is "partial 16S ribosomal RNA". It matches the Rfam family "Bacterial small subunit ribosomal RNA", at positions 524 to 776 of the family's 1533-position model. The record is from RNAcentral.